Molecule: transfer RNA, 86 nt
Filed under: Proteiniborus ethanoligenes
Lineage: Bacteria; Bacillati; Bacillota; Clostridia; Eubacteriales
Description: tRNA_Leu_GAG
Source: RNAcentral
GCAGGACUGGCGGAACUGGCAGACGCACUAUCUUGAGGGGGUAGCGGUCGAAGACCGUACGAGUUCGAGUCUCGUGUCCUGCACCA